CUACGGGUCGCAGCAGUGAGGAAUUUUGCGCAAUGGGGGAAACCCUGACGCAGCAACGCCGCGUGAGCGAAGAAGGCCCUCGGGUCGUAAAGCUCUGUCAAGUGGGAAAAAAAUUUUUUGAUCAAUAGUCAAAAGACUUGAUGGUACCACUGGAGGAAGCACCGGCUAACUCCGUGCCAGCAGCCGCGGUAAUACGGAGGGUGCGAGCGUUGUUCGGAUUUACUGGGCGUAAAGAGCGUGUAGGCGGUUUAGCAAGUCAGAUGUGAAAGCCCUGGGCUCAACCCGGGAAGUGCAUUUGAAACUGCUUCACUAGAGUAUGGGAGAGGAGAUUGGAAUUCCUGGUGUAGAGGUGAAAUUCGUAGAUAUCAGGAGGAACACCCGUGGCGAAGGCGAUUCUCUGGACCAAUACUGACGCUGAGACGCGAAAGCGUGGGGAGCAAACAGGAUUAGAUACCCUAGUAGUC
Molecule: ribosomal RNA, 464 nt
Filed under: uncultured bacterium
Lineage: Bacteria
Description: partial 16S ribosomal RNA
Rfam family: Bacterial small subunit ribosomal RNA
Source: RNAcentral